Molecule: ribosomal RNA, 468 nt
Filed under: uncultured bacterium
Lineage: Bacteria
Description: partial 16S ribosomal RNA
Rfam family: Bacterial small subunit ribosomal RNA
Source: RNAcentral
GAUGAACGCUGGCGGCGUGCUUAACACAUGCAAGUCGAACGGAAAGGCCCAAGCUUGCUUGGGUACUCGAGUGGCGAACGGGUGAGUAACACGUGGGUGAUCUGCCCUGCACUUCGGGAUAAGCCUGGGAAACUGGGUCUAAUACCGGAUAGGACGAUGGUUUGGAUGCCAUUGUGGAAAGUUUUUUCGGUGUGGGAUGAGCUCGCGGCCUAUCAGCUUGUUGGUGGGGUAAUGGCCUACCAAGGCGUCGACGGGUAGCCGGCCUGAGAGGGUGUACGGCCACAUUGGGACUGAGAGACGGCCCAGACUCCUACGGGAGGCAGCAGUGGGGAAUAUUGCACAAUGGGCGCAAGCCUGAUGCAGCGACGCCGCGUGGGGGAUGACGGCCUUCGGGUUGUAAACUCCUUUCGCUAGGGACGAAGCGUUUUUGUGACGGUACCUGGAGAAGAAGCACCGGCUAACUACGUG